This 250-nucleotide ribosomal RNA is filed under the name uncultured Kushneria sp. RNAcentral describes it as "partial 16S ribosomal RNA". It matches the Rfam family "Bacterial small subunit ribosomal RNA", at positions 524 to 773 of the family's 1533-position model. Lineage: Bacteria; Pseudomonadati; Pseudomonadota; Gammaproteobacteria; Oceanospirillales; Halomonadaceae. The record is from RNAcentral.
UACGGAGGGUGCAAGCGUUAAUCGGAAUUACUGGGCGUAAAGGGCGCGUAGGCGGCUUGCCAAGCCGGAUGUGAAAGCCCCGGGCUCAACCCGGGAACGGCAUUCGGAACUGGCAGGCUAGAGUGCAGGAGAGGAAGGUGGAAUUCCCGGUGUAGCGGUGAAAUGCGUAGAGAUCGGGAGGAAUACCAGUGGCGAAGGCGGCCUUCUGGACUGACACUGACGCUGAGGCGCGAAAGCGUGGGUAGCAAAC